RNAcentral lists this long non-coding RNA (316 nucleotides) under Ananas comosus (pineapple). RNAcentral describes it as "long non-coding RNA (ACOM_LNC041485)". The record is from RNAcentral. Lineage: Eukaryota; Viridiplantae; Streptophyta; Magnoliopsida; Poales; Bromeliaceae.
GUUAGGCUGGAAUACUAUCAAUAGCACCAAUGAUUUGGUGCUAUUAAGUUUUUUGUCAUUGAAUUAAAAGAUGUGCGGUUAGGAUGAUGUGGGCCCCCUAGGGUUGCGUGGGUGGUUGGUUGAAUAGUAUAAUCGAAUGGAUGAAAAUGAUGAAAGAAGUAAAUCUAAUAGUAGAAAACUUGAUAGCACCAAAUGCCUCGUGCUAUCAAUAGUAUUCCAGCCGAAUUUUAUAUAUAUAUAUAGUUGGAUUGGGCUACUAUUAGUAGUAAAAUUCCAUUGUUGCUACCAGUUUUUUAGCCUUUGGAUCAACUCUUUU